Long non-coding RNA from Juglans microcarpa x Juglans regia, 374 nucleotides. RefSeq lists it as uncharacterized. The record is from RefSeq and is a predicted model, not a curated record. The transcript is spliced from 2 exons. Lineage: Eukaryota; Viridiplantae; Streptophyta; Magnoliopsida; Fagales; Juglandaceae.
AGCUGAAAAACUUCGAAAUUCCUCUUCCAUUUGCUUGUUUGAUGCUUAGUUUUGCAUCUUGAAAGGAAAGCUAAGCCAGGAAAUGUCGAAGAAGAAACUAUGGAGCCACACAUCGCUAGGGAGGGGGAGUCGGACGCCUAGCCUACCCUUAGUCAGUGUUGGGUCUAUAUAUGAUGUUGGGAAUUUUAUUUUGGUUGGUUUGUAAAACUGUUGUGACAUGUAUUUUUAAGACAAAAUAUUUUGUGAACCGGGUAGAUGUGUCUACCUGGAUGAUGGCUGUAGUUCAGCUUGUAAUUAACGGGACCGUCCUAUGAUUUGAUAAACAUGUUAUUUUGGAACUUUGAAAUAUGAUAGAAAGGGGGAAGGUCCAUUUU